Molecule: ribosomal RNA, 253 nt
Filed under: uncultured bacterium
Lineage: Bacteria
Description: partial 16S ribosomal RNA
Rfam family: Bacterial small subunit ribosomal RNA
Source: RNAcentral
UACGAAGGGGGCUAGCGUUGCUCGGAAUGACUGGGCGUAAAGGGCGCGUAGGCGGACGGCUUUGUCGGGCGUGAAAUUCCAGGGCUUAACCUUGGGGCUGCGUUCGAGACGGGUUGUCUAGAGUUUGGAAGAGGGUCGUGGAAUUCCCAGUGUAGAGGUGAAAUUCGUAGAUAUUGGGAAGAACACCGGUGGCGAAGGCGGCGACCUGGUCCUUGACUGACGCUGAGGCGCGAAAGCGUGGGGAGCAAACGGG